GCGGAAUGUGGCUGUCACCUAGGAGUACGUAGCUCGCUUGGUCGCAUGCCAUGAGACAUGAGCGGCGCGUGGUACGGUGGUUGCAGGUGAGCACGAGCGGCGGGUCGCGGAAGGCGCCGACGGAGGCGAAGCUCAAGGUGGCGAUCAACGGGUUCGGGCGCAUCGGGCGCAACUUCCUGCGGUGCUGGCACGGGCGCGGCGACAGCUCGCCGCUGGAGGUGAUCGCCAUCAACGACACCGGAGGCGUGAAGCAGGCGUCCCACCUCCUCAAGUACGACUCCACGCUGGGCAUCUUCGACGCGGACGUCAAGCCCGUGGGCGACAACGCCAUCUCCGUCGACGGCAAGGUGAUCAAGGUCGUGUCCGACCGCAACCCCUCCAACCUGCCGUGGGGCGAGAUGGGCAUCGACCUCGUCAUCGAGGGCACCGGCGUCUUCGUCGACCGCGCCGGCGCGGGCAAGCAUCUCGAGGCCGGAGCCAAGAAGGUGCUCAUCACCGCGCCCGGCAAGGGCGACAUCCCCACCUACGUCUGCGGCGUCAACGCCGACCUCUACACCCACGCCGACACCAUCAUCAGCAACGCCUCAUGCACCACCAACUGCCUCGCCCCCUUCGUCAAGGUCCUCGACCAAAAGUUCGGUACGUGCCCGUCUCCCUCCCUCUCUCUCUCUCUCAACUGAAUCAACUUGUUGACGAUGACUAAUGGCGGCGGUGGCAAUGGCGCAGGCAUCAUCAAGGGAACCAUGACCACAACCCACUCGUACACCGGCGACCAGAGGCUGCUCGACGCGAGCCACCGCGACCUGCGCCGUGCCCGCGCCGCCGCCCUCAACAUAGUGCCGACCUCCACCGGCGCGGCCAAGGCCGUGGCGCUGGUGCUCCCCAACCUCAAGGGCAAGCUCAACGGGAUCGCGCUCCGGGUGCCCACCCCCAACGUGUCCGUCGUCGACCUCGUGGUGCAGGUCUCCAAGAAGACCCUCGCCGAGGAGGUGAACCAGGCGUUCCGCGACGCCGCCGCCAACGAGCUCAAGGGCAUCCUCGACGUCUGCGACGAGCCCCUCGUGUCCGUCGACUUCAGGUGCUCCGACGUCUCCUCCACCAUCGACGCGUCGCUCAGCAUGGUCAUGGGAGACGACAUGGUCAAGGUCAUUGCAUGGUACGACAACGAGUGGGGUUACUCCCAGAGGGUCGUCGACCUCGCCGACAUCGUCGCCAACCAAUGGAAGUGAACGCCCCCCCACAGCGGCAUUGCCCUGUCAAGUGACUCCUCUCGAAAUUUUCCCCAGCCGUCGUCACGGAUGAUCGAUUCUUUGUAAUGAGAAUUCAAAGUAUCGAGCUCCCAACAC
This 1346-nucleotide long non-coding RNA is filed under the name Hordeum vulgare. RNAcentral describes it as "long non-coding RNA (HVUL_LNC020883)". Lineage: Eukaryota; Viridiplantae; Streptophyta; Magnoliopsida; Poales; Poaceae. The record is from RNAcentral.